UACGUAGGGGGCUAGCGUUGUCCGGAAUCAUUGGGCGUAAAGCGCGUGUAGGCGGUCCGGUAAGUCCGCUGUGAAAGUCGGGGGCUCAACCCUCGGAUGCCGGUGGAUACUGUCGGGCUUGAGUACGGAAGAGGCUAGUGGAAUUCCUGGUGUAGCGGUGAAAUGCGUAGAUAUCCGGAGGAACACCGGUGGCGAAGGCGGCUUCCUGGACCGACACUGACGCUGAGGCGCGAAAGCUAGGGGAGCAAACGGG
Molecule: ribosomal RNA, 253 nt
Filed under: uncultured bacterium
Lineage: Bacteria
Description: partial 16S ribosomal RNA
Rfam family: Bacterial small subunit ribosomal RNA
Source: RNAcentral